Molecule: transfer RNA, 74 nt
Filed under: Ahnfeltia plicata
Lineage: Eukaryota; Rhodophyta; Florideophyceae; Ahnfeltiales; Ahnfeltiaceae
Description: tRNA-Met
Rfam family: tRNA
About the family: Transfer RNA (tRNA) molecules are approximately 80 nucleotides in length. Their secondary structure includes four short double-helical elements and three loops (D, anti-codon, and T loops). Further hydrogen bonds mediate the characteristic L-shaped molecular structure. tRNAs have two regions of fundamental functional importance: the anti-codon, which is responsible for specific mRNA codon recognition, and the 3' end, to which the tRNAs corresponding amino acid is attached (by aminoacyl-tRNA synthetases). tRNAs cope with the degeneracy of the genetic code in two manners: having more than one tRNA (with a specific anti-codon) for a particular amino acid; and 'wobble' base-pairing, i.e. permitting non-standard base-pairing at the 3rd anti-codon position.
Source: RNAcentral
CACGGGAUAGAGUAAUUUGGUCAACUCGUUAGGCUCAUGAUCUAAAAUUGUAGGUUCGAAUCCUACUCCCGUAA